CAGGGGGCCGAGGCAGCUGCGGGGUCGAAAGAUCGCGAGGAAAGUCCGGGCUCCACGAAGCAAAGGUGGCGGGUAAUGCCCGCCGAGUGUUCGCCUUUUAGGCGGGCAUUUAGGGAAAGUGCCACAGAGAGUAUACCGCCGAUGGCCCCUAAAGGGCACAGGCAAGGGUGAAAGGGUGCGGUAAAGGCGCACCGGGGCGCUGGUAACAUCGUCCGCAUGGUAAACCCCACCUGGAGCAAGGCCAAAUAGGGAUCUCGCGCCGUUACGGCAGGAGCGCUUCGCGCCGAGAGAUCCGGGUUGGCUGCUUGAGCUGUUCAGCAAUGGACAGCCUAGAUGAAUGGUUGCCGCCGCACGGCAGGUCUGCCUGGCAGAUACCGCGGGCGGAGACAGAACCCGGCUUAUGAAGCCCCCUGACAC
RNAcentral lists this RNase P RNA (417 nucleotides) under Erythrobacter insulae. RNAcentral describes it as "Bacterial RNase P class A". It matches the Rfam family "Bacterial RNase P class A". Rfam says of the family: Ribonuclease P (RNase P) is a ubiquitous endoribonuclease, found in archaea, bacteria and eukarya as well as chloroplasts and mitochondria. Its best characterised activity is the generation of mature 5'-ends of tRNAs by cleaving the 5'-leader elements of precursor-tRNAs. Cellular RNase Ps are ribonucleoproteins. The record is from Rfam by way of RNAcentral. Lineage: Bacteria; Pseudomonadati; Pseudomonadota; Alphaproteobacteria; Sphingomonadales; Erythrobacteraceae.